This 218-nucleotide unclassified non-coding RNA is filed under the name Hevea brasiliensis (rubber tree). Lineage: Eukaryota; Viridiplantae; Streptophyta; Magnoliopsida; Malpighiales; Euphorbiaceae. The record is from RNAcentral.
AAUAGUGCCAAGUCCGAAGACUGGUUCUUGAAUGCGUUGAAUGGGGCUACUGGGUUGUUGGAUAGAGGGUUUUCUGAUUCAGCUUCUGUCAAUUGCUUGCUGGGUCUCGAUGACGAUGGCCUAAAUGGGAAUAAUAAUAAUCUCGAUUUAGUUGGUGGUGUUCGAGAUGUGGAGGGGUCGCAGAAGAACGCGAAGCAAGGUCAGGAUGUCCAUUCUGU